AUAAAGAAGGUCCAGCCUGCCCGGUGACAAAGUUUAACGGCCGCGGUACCCUGACCGUGCGAAGGUAGCAUAAUCACUCGUUCUUUAAAUAGGGACUUGUAUCAACGGCAUCACGAGGGCUGUACUGUCUCCUUUCUCUAAUCAGUGAAACUGAUCUCCCCGUGAAGAAGCGGGAAUUUAGCUAUAAGACGAGAAGACCCCAUGGAGCUUUAAGCCCGGUAUAUAGCCCACGCCAUAAUCCCACUAAGCUAUAAGGCCCUAAAUACCGGCUUUAGGUUGGGGGGACCGCGGAGUAAAAUCUAACCUCCACGACUAAUGGGCUUAGCCUUUAUCCACGAACAACACUUCUAAGAAUCAACAAACUGACGUUUAAUGACCCGACAAUUCGAUCAACGAACCAAGUUACCCUGGGGAUAACAGCGCAAUCCACUUCAAGAGUCCUUAUCGACAAGUGGGUUUACGACCUCGAUGUUGGAUCAGGAUAUCCCAGUGGUGCAGUCGCUACUAAAGGUUCGUUUGUUCAACGAUUAAAACCCUACGUGAUCUAARUUUCAGACCGGA
Molecule: ribosomal RNA, 561 nt
Filed under: Pulchrana signata (yellow-spotted frog)
Lineage: Eukaryota; Metazoa; Chordata; Amphibia; Anura; Ranidae
Description: partial 16S ribosomal RNA
Rfam family: Bacterial large subunit ribosomal RNA
Source: RNAcentral